Molecule: RNA transcript, 6120 nt
Organism: Sapajus apella (tufted capuchin)
Lineage: Eukaryota; Metazoa; Chordata; Mammalia; Primates; Cebidae
Gene: STON2
Gene name: stonin 2
Exons: 10
Source: RefSeq, a predicted model, not a curated record
GACUCUGGAGCCGGUGGCGGCGCUGCGGCCGGGAGGAGGGCGGCGAAAGCAGCGCGGCCGGGUGAGGUUUCCGCGGCCAGACCAGCCGGCUCUGCCGCGGCGAACUUCCCGCGGACGCUGGGGACCUGCGGAUCGCGGCACAGGAAAACAACUCACAAGGCAAAAAAGCACAUCUCAUGGAUGGAACAUGGUGAAGUGGUUACGAGAACAGACUUUGGAGCCAGACUGCCUGGGUUUGAAUUGUGCAGUUUCAGAUUUCUGCUUGACAGAUUAACCAACGGCAAGAGGGGCUGAUCUGUCUACAUUCUGAGUACUGCCCUUGGCAAGCCACCUAUAACAGACCCUGGACCCAAGUCUACCGUACUACCCCUACCCCAGCCUGCCCCAGACAGUAUUCUGGGGUUCACCUGAGGUCAGCAGUGUGAAGAUGAUCAGUGCCUUUUUAGCAUGACGACUUUGGACCAUGUGAUUGCCACCCACCAGUCAGAGUGGGUCUCCUUCAGUGAAGAGCCACCCUUUCCUGCCCACUCGCAGGGGGGCACAGAAGAGCACCUCCCAGGAUUGUUAUCUUCCUCAGACCAGUCCGAGAGCUCCUCUGGGGAGAACCAUGUGGUGGAUGGAAGCUCUCAAGACCAUUCCCACUCGGAGCAGGAUGACUCCUCGGAAAAGAUGGGCCUCAUUUCUGAAGCGGCUUCCCCACCUGGGAGCCCUGAGCAGCCCCCACCUGACCUGGCCUCAGCCAUCAGCAACUGGGUUCAGUUUGAAGACGACACGCCCUGGGCCAGCACAUCUCCACCUCAUCAGGAAACAGCCGAGACAGCCCUACCAUUGACCAUGCCCUGCUGGACAUGUCCUUCCUUUGACUCCCUGGGGAGAUGCCCUCUGACCUCUGAGAGCAGCUGGACCACCCAUUCUGAAGACACCAGCAGUCCUAGCUUUGGAUGUUCAUAUACAGACCUACAGCUCAUUAAUGCUGAGGAGCAGACGAGUGGCCGGGCUUCUGGGGCUGACUCGACUGACGAGAGGACCGAGUGGCAGACAGGCAGGCAGACGGCAGUGAGUCCUGUUCAAGCAUGCUCGGAGCAUACCUCCACCCACACCCAUCGCCUGGACCCCUCGCCACCCUCUCCCCAGCCCAGGAGGAGCCAGAACCCCUGCGAGGGUCCGGAGGGGGCCUCCGCUCCCAAUGACAAUUCCUCCUCAAUCCAGGAAGAUGAAGAAGUAGAGAUGGAGGCCAUCAGCUGGCAGGCCAGCAGUCCAGCUAUGAAUGGGCACCCUGCCCCUCCAGUGACCUCUGCUCGUUUCCCCAGCUGGGUCACCUUUGAUGACAAUGAAGUCAGCUGCCCUUUACCUCCAAUCACCUCUCCUCUGAAGCCAAAUACACCACCAGUUGCAUCUGUGAUCCCAAAUACAUCUUAUAAUUCAACAGGAUCAUUUAAAAAGAGGGACCGUCCCAAGAGCACUUUGAUGAACUUCUCCAAAGUUCAGAAGCUCGAUAUUCCCUCUUUAAACCAACCGCCUUCUGUAACCGAGGCUCCACCGUGGAGGCCAACCAACCCUUUCCUGAAUGAGACUCUGCAGGAUGUACAGCCCUCCCCUAUCAACCCUUUCAGUGCUUUCUUUGAGGAGCAGGAAAGGCGCUCCCAAAACAGUUCCAUUUCCAGCACCAAGGGCAAAAGCCAAAGAGAUUCCCUCAUUGUCAUCUAUCAGGAUGCCAUCAGUUUUGAUGAUUCAAGCAAAACCCAGUCACACUCUGACGCUGUUGAAAAACUCAAACAACUCCAAAUUGAUGAUCCUGAUCACUUUGGCAGUGCAGCUUUACCUGAUGAUGACCCAGUAGCCUGGAUUGAACUAGAUGCUCACCCGCCUGGAUCAGCACGGUCCCAGCCAAGGGAUGGAUGGCCAAUGAUGCUGAGGAUCCCCGAGAAGAAAAACAUCAUGUCCUCCCGGCACUGGGGACCGAUCUACGUCAAACUGACAGACAGUGGUUACCUGCAGCUAUAUUAUGAGCAGGGCCUAGAGAAACCAUUCCGUGAGUUCAAGCUGGAGAUGUGUCAUGAGAUUUCAGAACCCCGGCUUCAAAACUAUGAUGAGAAUGGCAGAAUCCACAGCUUGCGGAUAGACCGUGUCACCUAUAAGGAGAAGAAGAAAUACCAGCCCAAACCUGCUGUGGCCCACACAGCAGAGAGGGAACAGGUGAUUAAGCUGGGCACCACCAAUUACGAUGACUUCCUGAGCUUCAUCCGUGCAGUUCAGGACCGUCUCAUGGAUCUCCCAGUGUUGUCAAUGGACUUGAGCACAGUUGGCCUGAACUACCUUGAAGAGGAGAUCACAGUGGACGUCAGAGAUGAAUUCUCUGGCAUUGUGAGCAAAGGAGACAACCAGAUUCUCCAGCACCACGUCUUGACGCGGAUCCACAUCCUGAGUUUUCUGUCUGGGCUCGCAGAGUGCCGCCUGGGCCUCAAUGACAUCCUCAUCAAAGGGAAUGAAAUCGUGUUGAGGCAGGACAUCAUGCCCACCACCACCACAAAGUGGAUCAAGCUCCAUGAGUGCCGCUUCCAUGGGUGCGUGGACGAGGGCGUAUUCCACAACUCACGGGUCAUUCUGUUCAACCCUUUGGAUGCAUGUCGGUUUGAGCUAAUGCGGUUCAGGACAGUGUUUGCCGAGAAGACCUUGCCUUUCACACUCAGGACGGCCGCAAGUGUGAAUGGGGCGGAGGUGGAGGUGCAGAGCUGGCUGAGGAUGUCAACUGGCUUCUCCUCCAAUCGUGACCCCCUCACUCAGGUUCCCUGUGAGAAUGUGAUGAUCCGUUACCCUGUGCCCAGCGAGUGGGUGAAAAACUUCCGCAGGGAAAGUGUCCUGGGGGAAAAGUCUUUGAAAGCCAAAGUGAACCGGGGGGCAAGUUUUGGCUCCACUAGUGUUUCUGGCUCUGAGCCUGUCAUGAGAGUAACUCUGGGAACUGCCAAGUACGAGCAUGCCUUCAACUCCAUUGUGUGGAGGAUAAACCGACUGCCCGACAAAAACUCAGCUUCUGGUCACCCACACUGUUUCUUUUGCCACCUUGAACUUGGCUCUGACCGGGAAGUGCCUUCCAGAUUUGCCAGUCACGUGAAUGUCGAGUUCAGCAUGCCCACAACUUCUGCCUCCAAAGCCACAGUGAGAUCCAUCUCCGUGGAAGACAAGACUGACGUCAGGAAGUGGGUCAAUUAUUCUGCACACUACAGCUACCAGGUGGAAAUUGAGCAAAAAAAGAGUUUGAAGCCAGACUUUGAAGGAGAUGAAAUGGAAAAUCCCAAGGAGUGUGGAGUGCAGUGACAAAGCCUUGCAGCAAGGAAUCCUGAUCCCAGAGUCAUGAUAAGGUGUCUUCCUGAGUAGCUGAAGUUUAAGUUAAUACCUGCUGUGGCCCCUCCAUGUUGGGAAUGGUGUACCAGAUCUUCCUGUUUGCAGUUACUUGUAUUUUACCAGGAAACCCUGAGAAUGGUGGCUUUUAGAGAGGCUCUUUGAUUCUGGUCAUGCCUGAAGCAUGUGGUUCACCUGACUGUUGGAGCUUACUCUAUUAUUAAGCCUCCUUACCUUGUCUCUGCUAAUCUCGCAGCACUAGUAUGUGGUUCGUUGUGACUGUUACUGUCAGGAAAAGAACCUUCCACAUCAGUGAUGGCACGAUUCCCUUCUGAUGUUCAUCUGUCACUCACUUAAGUUUCUGGAAAAGGCAGUCUUGAGAAGUUAAUUAAGAGUCAUCACUUUCACUCUGUCUAGAAAAGGUUCAGAAAAGGUGCAAAACAAAUUUCCUCUUUGGGUCUUACUAGACCUUUUGGAGGUGUCUUCAUUCUUUAAAUGUUAACACUGUGCAACAGAAGUUUCCAGGACAUUUCCUCCUGGCUCUGGAUUGUUUAUAUUAGAACACUUUUUCCAACUCUCUAAGGUUUCAGUCACAGGAUUUGCUAACCUGAGUCACAAUAGACAAUGGGAAAAGGCACAAUAGGAGACUUUUUAAUUCUGUGAAUGGAGCCACAUUCUGUAAAAUGGCUGUUGAUGGGAAGGCAAAAUUAAGCUUAGUUUUCUUCUCUCUGGAGAAAAGAGACAUUAAAUGUAAGAUGAUGUUCAGUUCAAGAGGUAGAUUCAGUCUCAGUGAAUUCCCAAAUUCACACUGAAAAAUAGUCCACUUCUGAUUCCUGAAACAAAUAUAUAUAAUACCUCAGGCAUUUGUAAGGGGCAUUUGGGAGUUCUUGUUAUACCUCAUGACCAAUAGACAGUUGCAUGUCCCUUUAACCCAAACUUUAUAGGAAAUUUAAGCUGCAGAGAUAAUUUUUAAAGCUGUUUUAAAAUUAAGCCUGAAUGAGCUUUCCCCAAAAAUUUAGAUUUUGAUAAUAAUCGCAGUAUUAUAAUGGAUUGAAAAAGCAUCUCUAGGGUAGAGACGGGAAAAGCCAUAUUUUUCUAAUGUUGGGAACAUUAAAUCCUGAUUCCAGGAGUCAGGACACUCACUUCAUCUUCUUUUUCUUCAACUGUUUCUGGGACACUCAAUCUUCUUUUUCUUCAUCUGUUCCUAAUCACCUGUUUCUUAUUUCUAUCUUGGUGUCUCUCCCAUGAAGACUAGAGUCGGGGGACAGAAGGCACACUUUAUCAGAUUUGUAGAUAAUGCAGAAAUGAACAACAGCUCCAGGUUUUGGCCGACGGAUUCAAGAUUAAUGGAUUCAAUGAACAAUCAUUGGAUUCUAAGUAUGUAUUGACACUGGGAUAUAGAAAUAGUUACAGUAUUUUGAAAUAUCUAAACAUAAGACUGAAACUAAAAGGAUGAUUAAAUAGGCAUUAAUGAGAAACCCUAUAUUGUUUUUUUUUUUAAAUGCAACCCUCUAGUGUGUGUUUGUGGAUGUGUGUUUAUGUGUGUGUGAUGUGUAUAUAUAUGUCUUAUGUCAUUUUGUAUAAAAUAUUGUGAAAAUUGAAGGAGGACACUCAGUAAACAUCCUGGGACUAUUUGUAAGUUAUGGCAAAACCAGAUGAGAGAAAGGAAUAGUUCCCUCUGCAUCCUUACUGUCUCUUAGUAACAGCAAAUUGUAAUUUAAAAAAAUUUAAAACUACAUACAAGUUACAAAAUAGCAUCUCCCUUGUGGUAUGUUUGAGUAUGUAAUUUUACUUUCUUUUCUGGUUGUGCUUGUGGUAGUCAGAUGUGUUGGAUUGAUUCCAAUUGGACAGAGUAAGGAAUUCCAGCAUCUUCUUCCUGUUUGCUCCUGGGUUCUCCCUCAGAUCAAAUCCUCAGUUCCAGCUGGGGAUGCUGUCUAGCCCAACACUGUGACAGAAGCCUUAAGCACUGUUGCACCUCCAUGUGCUUUGGAUCGGCAACCCCAGUAGUAUUUUACUGGAGCAGUUCUGGGAAAGCAGAUGUACAGUCAGGUCCCAACAGCAAACUCUUGGGUGUAAGAGUAAGCAUAGGGGUAAGGAAAGAGAAGGAUAUGAACUCCUCUAACCUUAAGCCAGCAUUCAUUUAACCUUUAUGUCUACUUGCCAAGAGAACCUGGAGAAAGCUACCAUAUUCAAUAGAUUAAUCAAAAUCAGUGUUUUAGCCAGGCGGUGACAGAGAAGCAGCAUUCCUCACCCUACAUUCUUGUAAUGUCUGUAAUAAAUUUUAAUGCAUCAGAAUGGAUGAACCCAAGAUCUAGUGAAUGAUUCAGCUGAUCCAGGCCUUGCAUUUUCCAUAAUUCAUCAUCCAUCUUCAUUUAAUGUAACCUCUUGCACUAUCGUGGUUAAUUUUAUGUAAAACCAGUUUAUGUUUUUUUAAAUAUGUGCCUAUGUAAUAAAGUCUACACACUGGCUAUCUCUGUAGAGGUGAGGUUUUGUUUUUAGUUGUUCUACUGAUUAGAUCCUUUUUUGAGCUGUGAAAAUUAUUAAUAAAAAUGUUUGAACAAAGUGUCACUAUGCAAAAUUUAAUGAGGUCAGACAUAAUGAAGAGUAAUGUUUAUUAAUAUAAGGCCAGUCACCCAACUUAUAUGGCUAGUGAUCAUAAGCUGACAAAUUAACAAAUGACCUGCUUAAUUAUCCUAGUUAAGUUUAUCAUAGGUAUAAUUUAGUCCAUUCCAAUUUUGUGCCUAAUUCUGUGAGAAAACAAAUAAAAAUGGUUAAAAUCCU